Molecule: ribosomal RNA, 494 nt
Filed under: uncultured bacterium
Lineage: Bacteria
Description: partial 16S ribosomal RNA
Rfam family: Bacterial small subunit ribosomal RNA
Source: RNAcentral
GACGAACGCUGGCGGCGUGCCUAAUACAUGCAAGUAGAACGCUGAAGGAGGAGCUUGCUUCUCUGGAUGAGUUGCGAACGGGUGAGUAACGCGUAGGUAACCUGCCUGGUAGCGGGGAUAACUAUUGGAAACGAUAGCUAAUACCGCAUAAUAUUGACUAUUGCAUGAUAGUCAGUUGAAAGGUGCAACUGCACCACUACCAGAUGGACCUGCGUUGUAUUAGCUAGUUGGUGGGGUAACGGCUCACCAAGGCGACGAUACAUAGCCGACCUGAGAGGGUGAUCGGCCACACUGGGACUGAGACACGGCCCAGACUCCUACGGGAGGCAGCAGUAGGGAAUCUUCGGCAAUGGACGGAAGUCUGACCGAGCAACGCCGCGUGAGUGAAGAAGGUUUUCGGAUCGUAAAGCUCUGUUGUAAGAGAAGAACGAGUGUGAGAGUGGAAAGCUCACACUGUGACGGUAUCUUACCAGAAAGGGACGGCUAACUACGUG